AGCUCUUUGGAGAAAUGUGCACUCGAAGAAUUGCUCACGUAGAGUCUCACUGUGCUGUCAUCUGAGAAUUCAAGCUCAUUACUGAAACCAUGCUUCCUGUCAGCAUCACGAGAAGAUCACGACAGAAUCAGAGCACCAUGCUUAGCUAGUGGUAUUGUAAAAUCUCCUCAUUAAUGUUUUUAAUUUUUGCUUUCUUGUGUAUAAAAUUGAAUUGAAAUUGUAUGUGUUCUCAUUUACUACAUGUUUGCUUAAACCAUCUUUAAAUAUACCCAUAUUUCUAUUACUUGCCACAUUUUUUUAAUUUACAGCAAGAUAUUUAAGCAGUGGCAUAUAUUUUGAAUAUUAUAUUUUUCAUUAUUUAAAAUAAUAUUUUAAUUCAACAUUUGAUUAAAUUAUACCACUCCCCCAAGCUCUUCAGAUCCACUUCCAUUUUCUACCCAACUUGAAGCUGUUUGGCAAAAAAGAUACAAAAAUCUAAUCAAAACACAGCCCUUAAAAAUCAAGAAAGUAAAACCAUAUUCAAAACACAUAAUCAAAAAACUAUCAAGCAAACGACAAAAACAAACAACAAAAGUAAUGAAGCAAACUGUAACCAUGUAAAAACACACUUUAAAGCUCAGAAAACCGUGGAAUCAAUUUAUUUGUUGAUAAGCUACUGCUGAACCUAUGGCCUGUCCUAGUUAAUGUACCUAGCUUUACUCUUUUUGGAAAACUAAAUUUGUCUCUGUAAUAGGUUAUAUGUGAGAGUUCAGUUGUUAAAUUUUCACAUUAUCAUCAUUUUAUCUUUUUAUUUAUUCAACCAUUCACCAAUUCCUUUAUAAAAUAUAAUAAAAUUAAAUAUAAUAAAAUGAAAAAAAAUAUCAAUAGUAUUAAUAUGCUAGUCAGUACUUUCACAGAGUUACUACUUGCCUCAAUGUAACUGUAUUUUAAUGUUUACUGGGUCCCCAAAACCUGUUUGCAGAAGAGGACCUAUAAGUAGUUUCUGGGAAGAAGUCCCCAGGUAAUUGUAAUUGGUAAAAUAAAGAUGCUAGCAGCAAUUAGUUGGGAACAUGAGACAGCUGUAGGAUUUAAAGUUAUCAGGUUUAAAAAUCAUGAGGAAGAGGAAGUAUUGAGAGAUAUAAUGCCAGAGAACGAGUGUGCACGGGAGAAAACAGAGCCACCAUGUAAAGGGACCAGGAGAACAUGGCCCAUAGGACUGCACAAUAAAGUCAGGAGCAGCCAAAACAGAACAAAGAAAUUAGAAAUUAGUAACUCAGAGGUAUCCGUGGGAGGUAGAUUCUAAGAGCUUAGUGGUUAGGCAGUUGCUUAGUUUUGUGUUGAUUAAGUCAUAUUAACUAUAAAGGCUUUGUGCGUUUCAUUUGGGAAAAUAAACCAUUGAAGAAGGUAGUUACCAGUGAGAAAUUAAUCUCAAAAUUAAUGCUACAACUAUGAUCAUGGCAUUGGGAAAGAGAAAUCAACAUAAAGACAUGAGCCCAUGACAAGGAACAACAAUCAGAGACACACUUAUUUGUUCAAUUGGACAUCCCAUUAACUCCCAUGAUGGGAGGUCAUACUAUAUGUGAGAAGUACCUAGUAUAUUACCAAAGACCUUGGAAUGUAACACUAUAGGUUCUAGGUGGGCAUUGACUUGACAUCUCCAUUUUAAUGAAAUUUCAAAUUACUGUUGGCAAUGGGAUCUUGCUGUCAGUUUGGGCAGAGGAUAUUAUAGUUUUGGCAACAACUUUGCUUGUUUGGAAAUUUCUGUUCUAUUUAUGACAGCUCUUUUGGCCCAUAACUCAAUUAAAUGUAAACCAUUGCAAGUACUGGAAGCUUUGUUUGGUGACAAGUGGUGACCAUUUUAGACUCAUUAUUUGGUGAUUUCAUUUGGAUCACACAUAUAUACACAUACAUACAUACAUACAUACAUACAUACAUACAUACACACACACGCAGAGAGAGAGAAAGAAAGAGAAAGAGAGACAGACAGACACACAGAGAGACACACUACAUACAUACAUACAUACAUAAUUUAUAACAUUUUUAUUAUGUUUUUCUAUUACCCUUCCAUUACUGCUCUAGUGUACUCUUAUUUUUAUCUAUUCCUCUUGUAUUUCCUGUAUUCCUUUCCACAAUCCACUCCCCUUAUCCUAGCUAUUUCUGCCUGUUUUCUCUUUCACAAUUUCCUUUCUUCUUUCAUCCCACUCUUGAUUCCAGCCCCAUUCUCAAUUUGUUAGUUUUUUCUUGUCUCUUACUUAUGUCAGAGUAUGCUUUUGCAAACUUGUAGAUUAUCCAAUAUUUAAGAAAAAAGCCGAGUAUUUACAUUACCUGAUGUCUAUGCUGAACACAGUAUCUGGUAAAAUGUCCAAUGGAAGUGACAACAAUGUAUAUCACAUGGUAUAUUUUUAGAGGAAGAUAUACUGAGGUAUUUAGAAUCUGUGUAUAAUAGCUUUCCACUAAUUUGUAUGGAAUUUCAUUUUGUAACUAUUAUUUGAAUUAUUUUCAGACCACAAAAGUAACAAACGUUUUUAUUUUCUUUUACUGAACAUUGAAAUGAUCAUGUAGUACUUUGCCAUUUCUUGUUUUAAUGUAGUAGUACUUUGUAUGAUCUAUUUAUAAAUGUUAAGGUAUUAGUAUAUAUUUAGGGCACAUUCACAAUUUAGCAUUAUAAAAUAUAUUGUGUUGUAUGGUUUGGAUUGUAUUUGUUUGUAUAUAAAUUCAUUUUGUAUUAUUAUUUGAUUUUUUCUUAUAAUGUGUCUUAUUAUUGUCUUUCCACUUUUCCAAGUAAUCCCAGAUCUUUCUGUCUCCCUAUCAAUAAAAUUUCAUGCACGCUUGCUUGUGUACAAGGUA
Rattus norvegicus (Norway rat) is the source of this 2826-nucleotide non-coding RNA. The record is from RefSeq and is a predicted model, not a curated record. NCBI's taxonomy places the organism in Eukaryota, Metazoa, Chordata, Mammalia, Rodentia, Muridae.